AUUCAGUAACAAUUUCCUUCUCUUCGAAGUUUUCCUCUUCUCUCUAUAUGCUUUCUCUCUCUGAAAACACCACUGCAGAAGCUUCAUCUUCUGCAUGUUUACAAGGUAUUUUCGCUAGUUGAGGAUUCACUUCUUCGAUCCUGCGAUCUGUUCUGCUUCCGCGCCCUCUCUCUGACGAUUGUGAGAGGUCUUAGAGCAAGUCCAGUGCGUGCUGGAGCCCGAGGGACAAUCGCGGGAACAGAGCCAGACAGCCCAAGCAAUCAAGCCCAUCGUGUGCCAGCCCGAGGGAGAGGCCUGGCACGAGUUGCCAACCUGAAGGCAACGUUUUAUUGCCAGAAAAUAGCCUGCAAGGGCUAGGUUUCUUCGCCGGAUUCUGGAAUGGGGAAAAACAGUAUGCAUGCAUGUCAAACCUUAGUAAUUUCCAACUAAUUUUCACAUGCAAAGAGGCAUUUAAGUACCUGGAAUGGAUUCAAACUGAGUAAGAGCUCCAAACCCACAAAUUUGUCGGAGUUUACUCUGAGGAGGUGACCAAAAACUGGGCAAGCUUUCAGAGAAAUUGCAGGGGGUUAAACCUAUGGUUUCAAACUGGAAAAACACCACAAAUCUUGUCCCAAGCAACAUUAGUUAAGACAUAAUGAAACAAGAUUUGCAUAGAGAACCUCACAUGGGUUCGAGUUUCAAAUCUUAAAGCUCUCGGCUUCAAUGGUGGUUUACACCGUGAUGGUCCAAUGACGCAUGCAAUUGUAUAGUUAGGAUCCUUUAGUCCCAAAGAAUAAGGUUUCAUGAUUUUGAAGUUUGAUUUGUUUAGAGAGAGAGAGAGAGAGAUAGGAAUUUUAGAAAAAUGGAGAGAAGUGAGAAAGAUGAGUGGAAAGAGAGAUAGUGACGUGAGUGAGUGGAGAGUGCACAGGAAAUUCCAAGCAAGUUGCAAAAAGUAUUAUUAUUUUAUUUACCUAUUGUCAGUGCUAUACAAGUAUAGGAAUUGAGAUGCAAAAGACAAUUACUGUUCAUUAAGGGCAAUUAUUGUCCACUAGGUGGAUUAAAUAUUGGAUAGCCCUAGGGGCCUUUCCCA
Malus domestica (apple) is the source of this 1069-nucleotide non-coding RNA. Lineage: Eukaryota; Viridiplantae; Streptophyta; Magnoliopsida; Rosales; Rosaceae. The record is from RefSeq and is a predicted model, not a curated record.